CCUANGGGGGGCAGCAGUCGAGGAUUUUUCUCAAUGGGGGAAACCCUGAAGGAGCGACGCCGCGUGAGGGAUGAAGGUCUUCGGAUUGUAAACCUCUGUCAUCUGGGAACAAUGCUAGUCACCCAACACGUGCCUAGUUGAUAGUACCGGAAGAGGAAGCAGUGGCUAACUCUGUGCCAGCAGCCGCGGUAAUACAGAGACUGCAAGCGUUGUUCGGAUUCAUUGGGCGUAAAGGGUGCGCAGGCGGUGUGUUAAGUCGGAUGUGAAAUCUCACAGCCUAACUGUGAUAGGUCAUUCGAAACUGGCAUGCUAGAGGACUGGAGAGGAGACUGGAAUAGUCGGUGUAGCGGUGAAAUGCGUAGAGAUCGACUAGAACACCGGUGGCGAAGGCGGGUCUCUGGACAGUUCCUGACGCUCAGGCACGAAAGCCAGGGGAGCAAACGGGAUUAGAUACCCCGNUANUC
Molecule: ribosomal RNA, 464 nt
Filed under: uncultured bacterium
Lineage: Bacteria
Description: bacterial SSU rRNA
Rfam family: Bacterial small subunit ribosomal RNA
Source: RNAcentral